RNAcentral lists this ribosomal RNA (465 nucleotides) under uncultured Glomus. Its description in RNAcentral is "SSU rRNA". It matches the Rfam family "Eukaryotic small subunit ribosomal RNA", at positions 569 to 1040 of the family's 1831-position model. Lineage: Eukaryota; Fungi; Glomeromycota; Glomeromycetes; Glomerales; Glomeraceae. The record is from RNAcentral.
AGCAGCCGCGGUAAUUCCAGCUCCAAUAGCGUAUAUUAAAGUUGCUGCAGUUAAAAAGCUCGUAGUUGAAUUUCGGGAUCGAUAUAUCGGUCGUGCCUCGGUACGUACUGGUAUUUUCGGUUUCUACCUUCUGACGAACCUUGAUGUCAUUAAUUUGGUGUCUUGGGGAAUCAGGACUGUUACUUUGAAAAAUUAGAGUGUUUAAAGCAGGCUCACGCUUGAAUACAUUAGCAUGGAAUAAUGAAAUAGGACGUUUGAUUCUAUUUUGUUGGUUUCUAGGAUCGGCGUAAUGAUUAAUAGGGAUAGUUGGGGGCAUUAGUAUUCAAUUGUCAGAGGUGAAAUUCUUGGAUUUAUUGAAGACUAACUACUGCGAAAGCAUUUGCCAAGGAUGUUUUCAUUAAUCAAGAACGAAAGUUAGGGGAUCGAAGACGAUCAGAUACCGUCGUAGUCUUAACCAUAAACUAU